GUAGCGGGUCUGAGAGGAUGAUCCGCCACACUGGGACUGAGACACGGCCCAGACUCCUACGGGAGGCAGCAGUGGGGAAUAUUGGACAAUGGGCGAAAGCCUGAUCCAGCCAUGCCGCGUGUGUGAAGAAGGCCUUUUGGUUGUAAAGCACUUUAAGCGAGGAGGAGGCUACUUGGAUUAAUACUCUAGGAUAGUGGACGUUACUCGCAGAAUAAGCACCGGCUAACUCUGUGCCAGCAGCCGCGGUAAUACAGAGGGUGCGAGCGUUAAUCGGAUUUACUGGGCGUAAAGCGUGCGUAGGCGGCUUUUUAAGUCGGAUGUGAAAUCCCUGAGCUUAACUUAGGAAUUGCAUUCGAUACUGGGAAGCUAGAGUAUGGGAGAGGAUGGUAGAAUUCCAGGUGUAGCGGUGAAAUGCGUAGAGAUCUGGAGGAAUACCGAUGGCGAAGGCAGCCAUCUGGCCUAAUACUGACGCUGAGGUACGAAAGCAUGGGGAGCAAACAGGAUUAGAUA
Molecule: ribosomal RNA, 510 nt
Filed under: Acinetobacter johnsonii
Lineage: Bacteria; Pseudomonadati; Pseudomonadota; Gammaproteobacteria; Moraxellales; Moraxellaceae
Description: bacterial SSU rRNA
Rfam family: Bacterial small subunit ribosomal RNA
Source: RNAcentral